AAAUAAGCAUAAAAAAUUUAACCAAUUGUUUUAGGACAGAACUUUACAAUCGUAAUAGUCUAGAAAAAGAAGAAUCCAUGAGUUCAUUAAAUCCACUAUUAUCUGUUUUGGUUUUUACUAGGACUGGACCCAGAAGACUCCUGGCUUCCACACAUACCCACGAAUCAUCUGAUUACGGUCCACUCUCAGGAUUCUUCCCCUAUCAACGCACUGAAUUUACUUUCAACCCAGUGGCAGACCAACUCUUCCUUUCAUCAAGAAGCAGGAGGAACAUCAUGCAAACAGGUCCCAGGCAGUCAAAAAGCCAAGAUGCAAAAUAAGUAUUUGUCACCCCAUGCUACUUUUUUUUUUCUGGCUGGUCAUCCCCUGCAAAGUAUGCACAGGCUGAAGAUGUCCUCCUCUCCUUU
This 407-nucleotide long non-coding RNA is filed under the name Macaca mulatta (Rhesus monkey). Its description in RNAcentral is "lncRNA (ENSMMUG00000061020.1)". The record is from RNAcentral. Lineage: Eukaryota; Metazoa; Chordata; Mammalia; Primates; Cercopithecidae.